Molecule: ribosomal RNA, 1529 nt
Filed under: Klebsiella variicola
Lineage: Bacteria; Pseudomonadati; Pseudomonadota; Gammaproteobacteria; Enterobacterales; Enterobacteriaceae
Description: bacterial SSU rRNA
Rfam family: Bacterial small subunit ribosomal RNA
Source: RNAcentral
UUGAAGAGUUUGAUCAUGGCUCAGAUUGAACGCUGGCGGCAGGCCUAACACAUGCAAGUCGAGCGGUAGCACAGAGAGCUUGCUCUCGGGUGACGAGCGGCGGACGGGUGAGUAAUGUCUGGGAAACUGCCUGAUGGAGGGGGAUAACUACUGGAAACGGUAGCUAAUACCGCAUAACGUCGCAAGACCAAAGUGGGGGACCUUCGGGCCUCAUGCCAUCAGAUGUGCCCAGAUGGGAUUAGCUGGUAGGUGGGGUAACGGCUCACCUAGGCGACGAUCCCUAGCUGGUCUGAGAGGAUGACCAGCCACACUGGAACUGAGACACGGUCCAGACUCCUACGGGAGGCAGCAGUGGGGAAUAUUGCACAAUGGGCGCAAGCCUGAUGCAGCCAUGCCGCGUGUGUGAAGAAGGCCUUCGGGUUGUAAAGCACUUUCAGCGGGGAGGAAGGCGAUAAGGUUAAUAACCUUGUCGAUUGACGUUACCCGCAGAAGAAGCACCGGCUAACUCCGUGCCAGCAGCCGCGGUAAUACGGAGGGUGCAAGCGUUAAUCGGAAUUACUGGGCGUAAAGCGCACGCAGGCGGUCUGUCAAGUCGGAUGUGAAAUCCCCGGGCUCAACCUGGGAACUGCAUUCGAAACUGGCAGGCUAGAGUCUUGUAGAGGGGGGUAGAAUUCCAGGUGUAGCGGUGAAAUGCGUAGAGAUCUGGAGGAAUACCGGUGGCGAAGGCGGCCCCCUGGACAAAGACUGACGCUCAGGUGCGAAAGCGUGGGGAGCAAACAGGAUUAGAUACCCUGGUAGUCCACGCUGUAAACGAUGUCGAUUUGGAGGUUGUGCCCUUGAGGCGUGGCUUCCGGAGCUAACGCGUUAAAUCGACCGCCUGGGGAGUACGGCCGCAAGGUUAAAACUCAAAUGAAUUGACGGGGGCCCGCACAAGCGGUGGAGCAUGUGGUUUAAUUCGAUGCAACGCGAAGAACCUUACCUGGUCUUGACAUCCACAGAACUUUCCAGAGAUGGAUUGGUGCCUUCGGGAACUGUGAGACAGGUGCUGCAUGGCUGUCGUCAGCUCGUGUUGUGAAAUGUUGGGUUAAGUCCCGCAACGAGCGCAACCCUUAUCCUUUGUUGCCAGCGGUCCGGCCGGGAACUCAAAGGAGACUGCCAGUGAUAAACUGGAGGAAGGUGGGGAUGACGUCAAGUCAUCAUACGACCAGGGCUACACACGUGCUACAAUGGCAUAUACAAAGAGAAGCGACCUCGCGAGAGCAAGCGGACCUCAUAAAGUAUGUCGUAGUCCGGAUUGGAGUCUGCAACUCGACUCCAUGAAGUCGGAAUCGCUAGUAAUCGUAGAUCAGAAUGCUACGGUGAAUACGUUCCCGGGCCUUGUACACACCGCCCGUCACACCAUGGGAGUGGGUUGCAAAAGAAGUAGGUAGCUUAACCUUCGGGAGGGCGCUUACCACUUUGUGAUUCAUGACUGGGGUGAAGUCGUAACAAGGUAACCGUAGGGGAACCUGCGGUUGGAUCACCUCCUU